RNAcentral lists this ribosomal RNA (251 nucleotides) under uncultured bacterium. Its description in RNAcentral is "partial 16S ribosomal RNA". It matches the Rfam family "Bacterial small subunit ribosomal RNA", at positions 524 to 772 of the family's 1533-position model. The record is from RNAcentral.
UACGGAGGGUGCAAGCGUUGUCCGGAAUCACUGGGCGUAAAGGGCGCGUAGGCGGCUCAUGAAGCUGUGGUGAAAGUCCGGGGCUCAACCUCGGAUCGGCCGUGGCGACUCGUGGGCUGGAGCACUGUAGAGGCGGGUGGAAUUCCGGGUGUAGCGGUUGGAAUGCGUAGAGAUCCGGAAGAACACCAGUAGGCGAAGGCGGCCCGCUGGGCAGUGGCUGACGCUGGAGGCGCGACAGCGUGGGGAGCAAA